Molecule: ribosomal RNA, 372 nt
Filed under: uncultured bacterium
Lineage: Bacteria
Description: bacterial SSU rRNA
Rfam family: Bacterial small subunit ribosomal RNA
Source: RNAcentral
GACGAACGCUGGCGGCGUGCUUAACACAUGCAAGUCGAGCGGUAAGGCCCUUUCGGGGGUACGACGAGCGGCGAACGGGUGAGUAACACGUGGGUGACCUGCCCUCAGCUCUGGGAUAAGCCUGGGAAACCGGGUCUAAUACUGGAUAUGACUCCAUGACGCAUGUUGUGGGGUGGAAAGCCUUGUGCGGCUGAGGAUGGGCCCGCGGCCUAUCAGCUUGUUGGUGGGGUGAUGGCCUACCAAGGCGACGACGGGUAGCCGGCCUGAGAGGGCGACCGGCCACACUGGGACUGAGACACGGCCCAGACUCCUACGGGAGGCAGCAGUGGGGAAUCUUGCGCAAUGGGCGAAAGCCUGACGCAGCGACGCCGC